UAGGGAAGCUUCCGCAAUGGGCGAAAGCCUGACGGAGCAACGCCGCGUGAGUGAGGAAGGUCUUCGGAUCGUAAAACUCUGUUAUUAGGGAAGAACAAAUGUGUAAGUAACUAUGCACGUCUUGACGGUACCUAAUCAGAAAGCCACGGCUAACUACGUGCCAGCAGCCGCGGUAAUACGUAGGUGGCAAGCGUUAUCCGGAAGUAUUGGGCGUAAAGCGCGCGUAGGCGGUUUUUUAAGUCUGAUGUGAAAGCCCACGGCUCAACCGUGGAGGGUCAUUGGAAACUGGAAAACUUGAGUGCAGAAGAGGAAAGUGGAAUUCCAUGUGUAGCGGUGAAAUGCGCAGAGAUAUGGAGGAACACCAGUGGCGAAGGCGACUUUCUGGUCUGUAACUGACGCUGAUGUGCGAAAGCGUGGGGAUCAAACAGG
RNAcentral lists this ribosomal RNA (429 nucleotides) under Actinomycetes bacterium. Its description in RNAcentral is "Actinobacteria bacterium partial 16S ribosomal RNA". It matches the Rfam family "Bacterial small subunit ribosomal RNA", at positions 355 to 776 of the family's 1533-position model. Lineage: Bacteria; Bacillati; Actinomycetota; Actinomycetes. The record is from RNAcentral.